RNAcentral lists this ribosomal RNA (253 nucleotides) under uncultured bacterium. RNAcentral describes it as "partial 16S ribosomal RNA". It matches the Rfam family "Bacterial small subunit ribosomal RNA", at positions 524 to 776 of the family's 1533-position model. The record is from RNAcentral.
UACGUAGGGGGCUAGCGUUGUCCGGAUUUAUUGGGCGUAAAGAGCGUGUAGGCGGCCAGGUAGGUCUGCUGUGAAAACUCGAGGCUCAACCUCGAGACGUCGGCGGAAACCAUCUGGCUAGAGUCCGGAAGAGGAGAGUGGAAUUCCUGGUGUAGCGGUGAAAUGCGCAGAUAUCAGGAGGAACACCAAUUGCGAAGGCAGCUCGCUGGGACGUGACUGACGCUGAGACGCGAAAGCGUGGGGAGCGAACAGG